UAGGGCCAGGGCCAGCUUCGCAGAAAAGGAAACCCUCACAAGGAUUCCCAUGCUGACCAUUCAUCAAUGUUCCUCCAAUUAGCAAUCUUUCACCAAGUAAAGGCUGCUUUAUGGCCUCGGAAUGUUGGUUGUCUUCCAAAAGGUACACUGAAGAGGUUUCUGGGGACCUAAAGAUAGUACUGGUAUUUGGCAUGAUGAUAACGCUGAAGAUGCUAAAUAGAUAGCCAUCAUCUCAUUAUUCAACCAGCAAAUGCAUCAGCCACUCUUCUAGCACUUGGAACAGACUGAUGAGUGAAUGCAUUCUCUACCCUCAGGAGCUCACAGAGAGUAGAGGAAACAGACACAUAACACAGAUUCCCCCAUGCUGGAUGAAGCUGCCGCCAUGUUGAGAGAGCAGCCUGUGAAGAAGCUAACAUGAGUGAUGAAAUACUGAGGGCUCAGUCCAAUAGCCUGGGAGAAGCGGAAAUUUGCUCACUCCCAUGUGAGUGUCUUAGUAGAGGAUCCUUCGGCGCUAGUCAAGUUGAGAUGGCUGGAGCCCCAACCAACAUCUUGACUCCCAACUGGUGGGAGACCUAAGAACCUGAACUACCCACCUCUAUGCUGCCCCUUGAAUUCCUGAGUCACAGAAACUGAGGUCAUAAAAGUUUGUUGUUUAAGUUGCUCA
Canis lupus familiaris (dog) is the source of this 664-nucleotide long non-coding RNA. RefSeq lists it as uncharacterized. The record is from RefSeq and is a predicted model, not a curated record. Lineage: Eukaryota; Metazoa; Chordata; Mammalia; Carnivora; Canidae. The transcript has 3 exons.